AUUCUGAAGACAGCCUCCCACCCCACCCCACCUCAUCAUGCUCUUCCAGGACAGCUACAGGAAGAAAAGGAGAUAACAGAAUCUAAUGAUGUCCCAUAAGAUCUCCAGUCAAGGUGUGAACAUGAAGCUCCAUUUGCCUAUCUUUACCAAGAGCUUGAUGAUUUGAACCACUGACUGAUUGCCCUGUACUUGGAGGAUGUGAGGAAGCAGAAUUGAGCCAAUAAAGAGAAGAGGAAGAAGGAGCCACAGAACUGAGUGGGAUGUCCCCUGAGCACUCCUUGGUGGAGCAAAAGUCUUGCAAGUCUCUAGUGCGCUGGGCAGGCUGAGGGCGUUCAGCCGAGAACACAGCUCUGUAAAUACAUCAGCGAGGAUGCAUAUAUACAGUUUCCCCAGUGCUCCCUCAGACCCUUGGAGGCUGGGCUACUCCAAGCUCUGUUUCCUGCAAAAAAAUGGAGUAAGUCCUGUGGAGUCUAAAUACACAUUCCCUCUGCAUUAUACCCACGCCUCGACUUCAUUAUAUCUAGGAGCACUGAGACAAAGAGAUUUAUAACAAACUUCAUCCAAGCCAAGAAUGAAACACGGCAGCCUCCAUGCAGCAGGAAACCCAUUGAUCUGUUUCUUAUAAGCAUGUGGUUCUAUGCUGUUUUUCUGCCAAAGCUUUUCCCUGCCUCCCACUUGAGGAGCAUACACCAGCUGAUUCUGCAGAUUGACUCUACAUCAUUCUCUGUCAUGAAGCCAUGGCAUGUGUUUAUGCGUCUGUAACAAAGCGUUUAUAUUCUGCCAUCUGCAUAAAAACUGCUGAAGGACAUUUCAGCAAGAAUCCCUAUGGUUUAUGCAGCUGCAUGUUGAACAUGAAAAUCUAAGAUAUGACAGUGGUCUUUCAUUCAUACAACCUUUGAAUUUUGGUAAAGUUCUGAUGUAAUGUUAAAGAGUGGUAUUUUGAGGACUACGCAUCAAGAUAUAAACAUGGCACAUCUUUUAUAAUAUCAGCCACUGGAAGACAUUUGAAAUAAUAUUUGUAUAAUUGUGGGCUGUAUUAUCUUUCUUUCUUGCACAUAAUAAAGUUUCACUGGAAGUAAA
This 1080-nucleotide long non-coding RNA is filed under the name Homo sapiens (human). RNAcentral's name for it is "non-protein coding lnc-GABPA-3:6". Lineage: Eukaryota; Metazoa; Chordata; Mammalia; Primates; Hominidae. The record is from RNAcentral.